CAGAUUGAACGCUGGCGGCAUGCUUUACACAUGCAAGUCGGACGGCAGCACAGAGAAGCUUGCUUCUUGGGUGGCGAGUGGCGAACGGGUGAGUAAUGCAUCGGAACGUACCGAGUAGUGGGGGAUAACUGUCCGAAAGGAUGGCUAAUACCGCAUACGCUUUGAGAAGGAAAGCAGGGGCUCUUCGGACCUUGCGCUAUUCGAGCGGCCGAUGUCUGAUUAGCUGGUUGGUGGGGUAAAGGCCUACCAAGGCGACGAUCAGUAGCGGGUCUGAGAGGAUGAUCCGCCACACUGGGACUGAGACACGGCCCAGACUCCUACGGGAGGCAGCAGUGGGGAAUUUUGGACAAUGGGCGCAAGCCUGAUCCAGCCAUGCCGCGUGUCUGAAGAAGGCCUUCGGGUUGUAAAGGACUUUUGUCAGGGAAGAAAAGGUUGUGGUUAAUACCCAUGACUGAUGACGGUACCUGAAGAAUAAGCACCGGCUAACUACGUGCCAGCAGCCGCGGUAAUACGUAGGGUGCGAGCGUUAAUCGGAAUUACUGGGCGUAAAGCGGGCGCAGACGGUUACUUAAGUCAGAUGUGAAAUCCCCGGGCUCAACCUGGGAACUGCGUUUGAAACUGGGUGACUAGAGUAUGUCAGAGGGGGGUAGAAUUCCACGUGUAGCAGUGAAAUGCGUAGAGAUGUGGAGGAAUACCGAUGGCGAAGGCAGCCCCCUGGGAUAAUACUGACGUUCAUGCCCGAAAGCGUGGGUAGCAAACAGGAUUAGAUACCCUGGUAGUCCACGCCCUAAACGAUGUCAAUUAGCUGUUGGGCAACUUGAUUGCUUAGUAGCGUAGCUAACGCGUGAAAUUGACCGCCUGGGGAGUACGGUCGCAAGAUUAAAACUCAAAGGAAUUGACGGGGACCCGCACAAGCGGUGGAUGAUGUGGAUUAAUUCGAUGCAACGCGAAGAACCUUACCUGGUCUUGACAUGUACGGAAUCCUCCAGAGACGGAGGAGUGCCUUCGGGAGCCGUAACACAGGUGCUGCAUGGCUGUCGUCAGCUCGUGUCGUGAGAUGUUGGGUUAAGUCCCGCAACGAGCGCAACCCUUGUCAUUAGUUGCCAUCAUUUGGUUGGGCACUCUAAUGAGACUGCCGGUGACAAGCCGGAGGAAGGUGGGGAUGACGUCAAGUCCUCAUGGCCCUUAUGACCAGGGCUUCACACGUCAUACAAUGGUCGGUACAGAGGGUAGCCAAGCCGCGAGGUGGAGCCAAUCCCACAAAACCGAUCGUAGUCCGGAUUGCACUCUGCAACUCGAGUGCAUGAAGUCGGAAUCGCUAGUAAUCGCAGGUCAGCAUACUGCGGUGAAUACGUUCCCGGGUCUUGUACACACCGCCCGUCACACCAUGGGAGUGGGGGAUACCAGAAGUAGGUAGGGUAACCGCAAGGAGCCCGCUUACCACGGUAUGCUUCAUGACUGGGGUGAAGUCGUAACAAGGUAGCCGUAGGGGAACCUGCGGCUGGAUCACCUCCUUUCUAGAGAAAAGAGGCUGAGAGGCACUCACACUUAUCGGUAAACUGUGAUAUUAAAGAUGCGUUUAAGCUUGAAGAUGUGCUGCAUGAAUUACUUUUAAGCCGAGCAUGACCGAAAAGGUUAUUCGGAUUAAGAAGGAUGGUUGUUGGCAUAUUGGAAAGCAAAGAGACCUUGGGUUUGUAGCUCAGCUGGUUAGAGCACACGCUUGAUAAGCGUGGGGUCGGAGGUUCAAGUCCUCCCAGACCCACCAGACAUUCUCAAAGCAAGAGUAAGCAGUAUCGAUACUUGAGUAAGAGUAUGGGGGCAUAGCUCAGUUGGUAGAGCACCUGCUUUGCAAGCAGGGGGUCAUCGGUUCGAUCCCGUUUGCCUCCACCAAACAUUUAAAGACUUUACAAAUUAAAGUUAGCUGCUACAAUGCGCAGCUCAUUUUAAUUUGCGAAGUUUGAGACAAAAGUUUGUUUCAUGUAAAACGCAUUGAUCUUUAACAAAUUGGAAAGCCGAAAUCAACAAACAAAGACAAUGUUGGCUUACUGUAACAGGUAAGCCGCAGUAUUUGGGUGAUGAUUGUAUCGACUGAACUGUGAAACACAAAAGGCACAGUUCGGUACACAACAAGCAGUAAGCUUUGUCAGAGUAAAGACUUCAAGUUGGGUAGGUAGUCAACGCCGAAACAACGAAGUCAGAGAGGUUCUUGAAAUGAUAGAGUCAAGUGAAUAAGUGCAUCAGGUGGAUGCCUUGGCGAUGAUAGGCGACGAAGGACGUGUAAGCCUGCGAAAAGCAUCGGGGAGCUGGCAAUAAAGCUAUGAUCCGGUGAUGUCCGAAUGGGGAAACCCACCGUAUUUUGUACGGUAUCCUUAUCUGAAUACAUAGGAUAAGCGAAGCGAACCCGGAGAACUGAACCAUCUAAGUACCCGGAGGAAAAGAAAUCAACCGAGAUUCCGUAAGUAGUGGCGAGCGAACGCGGAGGAGCCUGUAUAUGAUAGCUGUUGAGAUAGAAGAACAAGCUGGGAAGCUUGGCCAUAGUGGGUGAUAGCCCCGUAUUCGAAAUUUCAUCAGUGGUACUAGGUAUACGACAAGUAGGGCGGGACACGUGGAAUCCUGUCUGAAUAUGGGGGGACCAUCCUCCAAGGCUAAAUACUCAUCAUCGACCGAUAGUGAACCAGUACCGUGAGGGAAAGGCGAAAAGAACCCCGGGAGGGGAGUGAAAUAGAACCUGAAACCUGAUGCAUACAAACAGUGGAAGCCUAUUAAUUGGGUGACUGCGUACCUUUUGUAUAAUGGGUCAACGACUUACAUUCAGUAGCGAGCUUAACCGGAUAGGGGAGGCGUAGGGAAACCGAGUCUUAAUAGGGCGAUGAGUUGCUGGGUGUAGACCCGAAACCGAGUGAUCUAUCCAUGGCCAGGAUGAAGGUGCCGUAACAGGUACUGGAGGUCCGAACCCACGCAUGUUGCAAAAUGCGGGGAUGAGCUGUGGAUAGGGGUGAAAGGCUAAACAAACUCGGAGAUAGCUGGUUCUCCCCGAAAACUAUUUAGGUAGUGCCUCAUGUAUCACUUCCGGGGGUAAAGCACUGUUAUGGCUAGGGGGUCAUUGCGACUUACCAACCCAUGGCAAACUAAGAAUACCGGAAAGUGCAAUCAUGGGAGACAGACAGCGGGUGCUAACGUCCGUUGUCGAGAGGGAAACAACCCAGACCGCCAGCUAAGGUCCCAAAUGACAGAUUAAGUGGUAAACGAAGUGGGAAGGCCCAGACAGCCAGGAUGUUGGCUUAGAAGCAGCCAUCAUUUAAAGAAAGCGUAAUAGCUCACUGGUCGAGUCGUCCUGCGCGGAAGAUGUAACGGGGCUCAAAUCUGUAACCGAAGCUGCGGAUGCACCUAGUGCAUGGUAGGGGAGCGUUCUGUAGGCCGAUGAAGGUGACUUGAGAAGGUUGCUGGAGGUAUCAGAAGUGCGAAUGUUGACAUGAGUAGCGAUAAAGCGGGUGAAAAGCCCGCUCGCCGAAAGCCCAAGGUUUCCUACGCAACGUUCAUCGGCGUAGGGUGAGUCGGCCCCUAAGGCGAGGCAGAAAUGCGUAGUCGAUGGGAAACGGGUUAAUAUUCCCGUACUUGAUUCAAAUGCGAUGUGGGGACGGAGAAGGUUAGGUUAGCAAGCUGUUGGAAUAGCUUGUUUAAGCCGGUAGGUGGAAGACUUAGGCAAAUCCGGGUCUUUUAAACACCGAGAAGUGAUGACGAGUGUCUACGGACAUGAAGUAACCGAUACCACGCUUCCAGGAAAAGCCACUAAGCUUCAGUUUGAAUUGAACCGUACCGCAAACCGACACAGGUGGGCAGGAUGAGAAUUCUAAGGCGCUUGAGAGAACUCGGGAGAAGGAACUCGGCAAAUUGAUACCGUAACUUCGGGAGAAGGUAUGCCCUUUGAUGUGAAAGACUUGCUCUGUAAGCAUUGGAGGGUCGCAGAGAAUCGGUGGCUGCGACUGUUUAUUAAAAACACAGCACUCUGCUAACACGAAAGUGGACGUAUAGGGUGUGACGCCUGCCCGGUGCUGGAAGGUUAAUUGAAGAUGUGCAAGCAUCGGAUCGAAGCCCCAGUAAACGGCGGCCGUAACUAUAACGGUCCUAAGGUAGCGAAAUUCCUUGUCGGGUAAGUUCCGACCCGCACGAAUGGCGUAACGAUGGCCACACUGUCUCCUCCCGAGACUCAGCGAAGUUGAAAUGGUUGUGAAGAUGCAAUCUCCCCGCUGCUAGACGGAAAGACCCCGUGAACCUUUACUGUAGCUUUGCAUUGGACUUUGAAGUCACUUGUGUAGGAUAGGUGGGAGGCUUAGAAGCAGAGACGCCAGUUUCUGUGGAGCCGUCCUUGAAAUACCACCCUGGUGGCUUUGAGGUUCUAACCCAGGUCCGUGAUCCGGAUCGGGGACCGUGCAUGGUAGGCAGUUUGACUGGGGCGGUCUCCUCCCAAAGAGUAACGGAGGAGUUCGAAGGUUACCUAGGUCCGGUCGGAAAUCGGACUGAUAGUGCAAUGGCAAAAGGUAGCUUAACUGCGAGACCGACAAGUCGAGCAGGUGCGAAAGCAGGACAUAGUGAUCCGGUGGUUCUGUAUGGAAGGGCCAUCGCUCAACGGAUAAAAGGUACUCCGGGGAUAACAGGCUGAUUCCGCCCAAGAGUUCAUAUCGACGGCGGAGUUUGGCACCUCGAUGUCGGCUCAUCACAUCCUGGGGCUGUAGUCGGUCCCAAGGGUAUGGCUGUUCGCCAUUUAAAGUGGUACGUGAGCUGGGUUUAAAACGUCGUGAGACAGUUUGGUCCCUAUCUGCAGUGGGCGUUGGAAGUUUGACGGGGGCUGCUCCUAGUACGAGAGGACCGGAGUGGACGAACCUCUGGUGUACCGGUUGUGACGCCAGUCGCAUCGCCGGGUAGCUAAGUUCGGAAGAGAUAAGCGCUGAAAGCAUCUAAGCGCGAAACUCGCCUGAAGAUGAGACUUCCCUUGCGGUUUAACCGCACUAAAGAGUCGUUCGAGACCAGGACGUUGAUAGGUCGGGUGUGGAAGCGCAGCAAUGCGUGAAGCUAAC
Molecule: ribosomal RNA, 5075 nt
Filed under: Neisseria zoodegmatis
Lineage: Bacteria; Pseudomonadati; Pseudomonadota; Betaproteobacteria; Neisseriales; Neisseriaceae
Description: partial 16S ribosomal RNA
Rfam family: Bacterial large subunit ribosomal RNA (bases 2219-5075)
Source: RNAcentral